This 6420-nucleotide long non-coding RNA is filed under the name Daucus carota (carrot). Its description in RNAcentral is "long non-coding RNA (DCAR_LNC003384)". Lineage: Eukaryota; Viridiplantae; Streptophyta; Magnoliopsida; Apiales; Apiaceae. The record is from RNAcentral.
GUUAUUAUUAUUUUAAUAAUAAUAAUAAUUUAUUAUGGGCUACAUAUAUAAAUAUAUCAAUUAUAUUUAGCUAUUUAUUUUAUUGGGUUAAAUUAAGUGAUCAAAUAAGAAACCCAAUUAGAUUUUAAUUAUUGUGUGGGUCAAAUGAGUGGAUACCCAAUACUAAGGCCUAUUUAAUUAUAAUGGGAGAUUAAAUUGAGCGUUAGAAUACAGAAGGUUAUAGUCCCCAAUAUAUCAAGCAACACAUACAGUCUUUCUUUACCCAUCAGAGAGGACUACUCAAGAAAACCUAAGGAGUGCUUGGUUGAGGAAGACAAUAACGCUGCUUCAAAAGCAAGAUUACUUAAGGUUAUACCACUAUCAUCACUAAUGGAUACAGGUAUGCUUCCGCUUACAGUUUAUAUCUCGAUAGUUGAAUAUGAUGUUUACGGUCCUUGUCUCUAUUAUAGAGAAUUUGUGCUUAUAGAGUUAUAAUUCUCUAACAAUUGGUAUCAGAGCCACUUCAUAUUUUGAUUAUCGGGAAUUAUGGUUCUUAAUUGUUUUAAGAUUUUGACAUGUUUGUCUUGUGCUUCCUUUUUUUUUGAUUUUUCGGCACUUUCGACUUUAUAUUAUGGUUCUGUGUUCCCUUCUGUUCACGCACGCAAGUUGUCAUUUUUUCCUCUCUCAGGCUAUGAUAAUUUAGAUAUAUAGUUGUCGAUUGCCUUUCAUGUUGAAUGAAUGUGAUCAUGCUAUUUCCUGUGAUACUGUUAUUAUUGUCCAAACCUUCUUUUAUGUUAAGUCAGUAACUUGUCCUGCUUUUGUGAUUAAAAUAUUAAGGUUAUAUUUUUAAUGUGGUGUGUACUAACUCAGGGUCUUGACAUUAUGUUAAUUCAAGUCGUGUAUGUACCAUGUCAUAUAUAUGUUUUAUUAUUUCCUGGUAUGAUAAUGUUGUCAAGUGCAGGAGAUUAUUUAAAAUUUAGGUGGACAAUUUAGAUGCAUAAGGAACUAGUCUGUGGUCAUGUAUUUAAGUAGAAUGGCACACACUUGGUGAACUCCUUUAAAUAAAUUAUAUAUUUGUGAGUUUGUUUCUAUUUUUUUAUUAUUGGCAUUUUUGUUUUAACCUAUUCAUUUAGGUGGUCGGAUAUUUUUUAAGUUAAUUAAUUGAAGCAAUAUGUUGCCAAAGUAACCUCUUUUGUCUAGAUUAAUUAAUAUAAAAAAUAUUAUUAUGAUGAUUGAAUGUUUAAUUUUAUGCGAAUUUUGUCGGCCCAAAGGAAGAUAAAUAUUUGGCCAAAAUUAAAAUAUUCUUGUGAUAGUAAGUAUGUAGCAAUAUAAAGUUUUUUUUUUCAUGUGAAUAAUAAGUCGGUCCAAAGAAAGGCAUAUUAUUUGACAGAAAUUAAUUGUUAAUACUUGAUUAUUGCGUGGAGAGUACCAAUUACAAAUUAAAUUUUCUGUCCAAAGACUAAAAUUUAUUGUUGCGCUAGGUAUCUUGUGAUGGUGUUGCCAAUAAUAAAAUUUAUUAUUUUUUUUAUAUAUAUUAGUGUUGAGCAUUUUCUGUAAAUUUGUUUUCUAUUGCAGUUAUGGCUAUAGUUAAUUCUGCUUCUGCUCAAUUGAGCAUGAUUCCAAUGUUGAAUGGGACAAACUAUGUCACGUGGAAAGAGACUGUUGAGAUUGUUCUUGGGUGCAUGGAUCUUGACCUUGCGCUAAGGAAAGAGCAACCAGUUCCCACUACGGAUGAUCCGAAAACGGAUCAAAUUGAUAAGUGGGAACGCUCUAAUCGCAUGUGUCUGGCGAUCAUGAAGCGAACAAUCCCAACUGGCUUUCGGGGCUCUAUUGCUGAGAGCACAAGUGCCAAGAAGUUCCUCUCUGAAAUUGAGCAAUAUUUUGCUAAGAAUGAGAAAGCGGAAACGAGUAAUCUUCUGUCAAAACUCGUGACCAUGAAGUAUAAAGGAAAGGGGAACAUAAGGGAGUACAUCAUUGGGAUGUCUAAUCUUGCAGGCAAACUUAAGGAACUCAAGUUAGAACUUUCGGAUGAGUUGCUUGUUCACUUGGUUCUGAUUUCUCUCCCUCCUCAGUUUGGACACUUUGUGGUGAGUUACAAUACUCAAAAGGAAAAGUGGACUCUUAAUGAGCUCAUUUCACACUGUGUGCAAGAGGAGGAGAGGGUUUUGCGAGAGAAGACUGAAAGUGCUCACUUGGCAUCGAGCUCUCAUGAUAAGAAAAGAAAGAGAGGUAAGGAUUCUGCAAGUGGAAAACCCAAGCAACCUUCUCAAGAGAAGCAGGAUAAGGGACCAACCUGUUACUUUUGUAAGAAGGCUGGACANNNNNNNNNNNNNNNNNNNNNNNNNNNNNNNNNNNNNCGUGUGAAGAAGGGUAUGACUUUUGUCUUUGUUUGUUCUGAAGUUAAUUUAGCUUCUGUACCUAAAGAUACUUGGUGGGUAGAUUCUGGUGCUACUACUCAUAUAAGUGUAUCAAUGCAGGGUUGCCUGUGGAGCCGACCGCCAACUGAUGCUGAAAGAUACAUCUAUGUGGGUGACGGCAAUAAAGUUUCAGUUGAAGCAGUUGGAACAUUUAGAUUGUUAUUAAAAACUGGUGUUUAUUUGGAUUUAUUUGAGACUUUUGUUGCACCGUCUUUUAGACGGAAUCUUAUUUCUAUUUCCUGUUUGGACAAAUAUGGCUACACUUGUUCCUUUGGAAAUAAUAAAGUUUGUUUCUCAUUAAAUUCAAAUGUGGUUGCUACUGGUUCUUUAAUUGAUAAUCUUUAUAUGCUUGAGACUGUUACUUUUAAUAAUGAAAUUUUGCACUCAAGUGCAAGAGGUACAAAGCGUAAGAUAACUGAGAAUUCUGCCAUGUUGUGGCACAAGCGCUUAGGACACAUCUCUAAACAGAGAAUUCAGAGGCUUGUGAAUGAUAGAAUUCUUGAUCCCUUAGAUUUAAGUGAUUUUCAGGUUUGCAUAGAAUGCAUUAAGGGAAAACAAACAAACUCAAGAAAGUUAGGUGCCAACAGAGCUACUAGUGUCUUAGAACUGAUUCAUACCGAUAUAUGUGGACCAUUCCCUACGGCCUCUUGGAACGGUCAACGGUAUUUUAUCACGUUCAUAGACGAUUACUCAAGAUAUGGUUACCUAUACUUAAUACAUGAGAAGUCACAAGCUUUGGACGUGUUUAAGGUCUUCAAAGCUGAAGUUGAGAAACAGCGUGGUAAGCCAAUUAAAGCUGUCAGGUCUGAUCGUGGUGGUGAGUACUACGGUAGAUAUGAUGGAUCAGGUGAACAACGUCCAGGGCCCUUUGCUAACUUCCUAAAAGAGUGUGGGAUUGUCCCUCAGUACACUAUGCCAGGCAAACCUAAUAUGAAUGGUGUUGCUGAGAGGCGAAACCGUACUCUUAAAGAUAUGGUGAGAAGUAUGAUAAGUCAUUCUUCUUUACCUGAAUCACUUUGGGGAGAUGCACUAAUGACUGCAAUUUAUAUCCUUAAUAGAGUUCCAACAAAGGCAGUGGCCGAAACCCCUUACAAACUUUGGACUGAUAAAACUCCAAGUAUUAGGCAUUUACAUGUUUGGGGUUGUCCAGCUGAGGCAAGGCCAUAUAGACCAAAUGAAAAGAAACUGGACUCAAGGACGGUCAGUUGCUAUUUUGUUGGAUAUCCGGAGCGUACUCGCGGAUUUAAAUUUUAUGAUCCCGCUACUAGAUCCUUCUUCGAGACUGAUAAUGCAAGAUUUUUUGAGGAUGUUGAUUUUGGGAGGGAAGAUAUAGGUAGAAGUGUUGUCUUUGAAGAAGAUAGUCAUGAUCUUAUUCAUGACACGGCCGAGAGCAAUGAUCAGAUUAUGGUACCUAUCAUUGUUCAAGGCCCUCCGGUUCAAGACAACACUGACAUUCCCCAUGAGGAACCAACUGAUCAAACUCAACAACCUCAUGAAUCACAAGAAGUGCCACUAAGGAGAUCCACUAGAGAGCGAAAGAGCGCAAUUCCAGAUGAUUAUGUUGUUUUUCUACAAGAACAUGAAGAUGGAAUUGGCAUUGGAGAAGAUGAUCCUGUAAAUCUUCAACAGGCCAUGCAGAGUCCUCAUGCAAUCUAUGAAAGACAAUGAUGUUUGGGAUCUUGUCGAGUUGCCUAAAGGAUCAAAGCCUGUUGGUUGUAAAUGGGUUUUUAAAACCAAAAGGGAUUCAAAAGGUAACAUCGAAAGAUAUAAGGCUCGUCUAGUCGCAAAAGGAUUCACUCAAAAGAAAGGUAUCGACUAUAAUGAGACUUUCUCUCCAGUUUCCACGAAAGACUCAUUUAGAAUUUUUAUGGCGCUUGUGGCUCAUUAUGACCUAGAGCUACAUCAGAUGGACGUAAAGACAGCGUUUCUCAAUGGUAACAUUGGAGAGACAAUUUAUAUGGUGCAACCAGAAAAUUUUGUCAUUGGAGAUCCAAAGACAAUGGUUUGCAGAUUAAAGAAGUCCAUCUAUGGUCUCAGACAGGCCUCUCGUGAAUGGUAUCACAAAUUUCAUCAUGUUAUCACAUCAUAUGGUUUUGAAGUGAACUUGGUGGAACAUUGUGUAUAUCACAAGUUCAGUGGGAGCAAAUUUAUCUUUCUUCUGUUAUACGUUGAUGACAUCUUACUUGCCACUAAUGAUAUAGGCUUAUUGCACGAUACCAAGAAAUUUCUCACUAGAGGAUCUUGGUAACGCCUCUUUUGUAUUAGGAAUUCAGAUACAUCGAGAUCGUUCUCGAGGUAUUCUUGGAUUGUCGCAAAAGAGCUAUAUCGAAAAGAUCCUGGAAAGGUAUGGCAUGAAAGAUUGUGCACCAAUGGAUACACCCGUGUCUAAAGGAGACAAAUUCAGUCUCAAACAAUGUCCCAAGAAUGAACUUGAGAUAAAGGAAAUGCAGAAGAUACCAUAUGCCUCGGCAGUGGGAAGUCUGAUGUAUGCUCAAGUUUGUACUCGUCCUGACAUAGCAUUCAUUGUUGGAAUGUUGGGAAGAUAUUUGAGCAAUCCGGGGAUGGAACAAUGGAAAGCAGUAAAACGAGUCCUACGGUAUUUGAAGAAAACAAAAGACUAUAUGCUCACAUAUGGGAAAUCAGAUCAUCUUGAAAUCAUUGGAUAUUCGGAUUCUGACUUUGGAGGAUGCAAAGAUGAAAGAAAAUCUACUUCAGGCUAUGUUUAUCUAUUAGCUGGUGGAGCGAUUUCAUGGAAGUCUGCUAAACAGACGCUCAUAGCUUCAUCCACCAUGGCUGCGGAGUAUAUAGCAUGCUUUGUGGCAUCCAAUCAAGCAUUAUGGCUGCGAAAUUUUGUCACUGGUUUGCGUAUUCUUGAUGGUGUUGAAAGACCAUUAAAGAUAUUCUGUGAUAAUAAAUCAGCAGUGGAGUAUUCUAAUAACAAUAGGAGCACUACUGAAGCAAAACAUAUAGAUAUCAAGUUCCUAGUUGUUAAAGAAAAGAUACAGAGUGGACAAAUUUCAAUAGGACACAUUGGGACUAACUCCAUGAUUGCGGAUCCGCUCACCAAGGCGUUAGCACCUAAGGUUUUUCACGAGCAUAUUACUCAUAUGGGUGUUACCUCUUGUGAUACUUUGGUUUAGUGGGAGUUUGUAUUUUGGUGUUUUACGUAAUAAACAUUGAGUUGUUUAUGUUCUGCAGAAUACAGUUGAUGGAAUUUUAGUUCAUUAAUUGUCACUCUACAUUUGUUCAAUUUUCUUAUUGUGGUUUAAGCAUUGAGUUCAGAAAAAUUUAUAUCAAUCUCAUUAGAGAUUGACUAAGGACUAGUUGGAAAUAGGCAUUAUAUAGAUCACAUUGUAUGUAAUUUCCAUGUCACUUAUCCAUACUUUGAUUCAUGUCGUUGAAUAUAUUUGUGUGGUGACCACGGAAGGUUUAGUCGCGUAAAGUUUGUGACGAAUACCGCCAGAAUCUCAUACCUAUAUAGUAGAUGGACCGAAUUGUUUUAGUAAAAUCUAAGGACAAUGAAUAGCAUAAGGUUGCGCACUAAAGAUAUGUAUAAUUGAUUUUGGAUUUAAUAUGAAGCCCAAGUGGGAGAUUGUUAUUAUUAUUUUAAUAAUAAUAAUAAUUUAUUAUGGGCUACAUAUAUAAAUAUAUCAAUUAUAUUUAGCUAUUUAUUUUAUUGGGUUAAAUUAAGUGAUCAAAUAAGAAACCCAAUUAGAUUUUAAUUAUUGUGUGGGUCAAAUGAGUGGAUACCCAAUACUAAGGCCUAAUUUAAUUAUAAUGGGAGAUUAAAUUGAGCGUUAGAAUACAGAAGGUUAUAGUCCCCAAUAUAUCAAGCAACACAUACAGUCUUUCUUUACCCAUCAGAGAGGACUACUCAAGAAAACCUAAGGAGUGCUUGGUUGAGGAAGACAAUAACGCUGCUUCAAAAGCAAGAUUACUUAAGGUUAUACCACUAUCAUCACUAAUGGAUACAGGUAUGCUUCCGCUUACAGUUUAUAUCUCGAUAGUUGAAUAUGAUGUUUAC